This 72-nucleotide transfer RNA is filed under the name Nocardioidaceae bacterium. RNAcentral's name for it is "tRNA-Val". It matches the Rfam family "tRNA". From Rfam's summary of the family: Transfer RNA (tRNA) molecules are approximately 80 nucleotides in length. Their secondary structure includes four short double-helical elements and three loops (D, anti-codon, and T loops). The record is from RNAcentral. RNAcentral also lists the same sequence under 2 other names. Lineage: Bacteria; Bacillati; Actinomycetota; Actinomycetes; Propionibacteriales; Nocardioidaceae.
GGGCGCAUAGCUCAGCGGUAGAGCACCUGCCUUACAAGCAGGUGGUCGCAGGUUCGAUCCCUGCUGCGCCCA